CAGAGGCCACGCUAAUCUACUCUGUAUCGUUCCAAUUUUAGAAGAUUAGCAUGGCCCCUGAGCAAGGAUGACACGCAAAUUCGUGAAGCGUUACAAAUUUAU
Molecule: small nuclear RNA, 102 nt
Organism: Dermochelys coriacea (leatherback sea turtle)
Lineage: Eukaryota; Metazoa; Chordata; Testudines; Dermochelyidae
Source: RefSeq, a predicted model, not a curated record